This 253-nucleotide ribosomal RNA is filed under the name uncultured bacterium. Its description in RNAcentral is "partial 16S ribosomal RNA". It matches the Rfam family "Bacterial small subunit ribosomal RNA", at positions 524 to 776 of the family's 1533-position model. The record is from RNAcentral.
UACAGAGGGUGCGAGCGUUGUCCGGAAUCACUGGGCGUAAAGGGCGCGUGGGUGGCGACCCAAGUCGAUGGUGAAAGCUCGCCGCUCAACGGCGAGUCGGCCACUGAUACUGGGUUGCUGGAGCACUGUAGAGGCAGAUGGAAUUCCGGGUGUAGCGGUGGAAUGCGUAGAGAUCCGGAAGAACACCGGUGGCGAAGGCGGUCUGCUGGGCAGUUGCUGACACUGAGGCGCGACAGCGUGGGGAGCAAACAGG